AAACGCUGUUCCUAGGUAUCACUGACCUAAUGCAUUUCCCAUUCUGAAAUCAAGCAGAAGAAAAAUGUUAUAGAAAAACAGCAGGUAAUGGAAAAUCCACAGAACAGGUUCCCCUCUCCGCCUCCCACUUCCCCUACAUGCUGCCCUAAGCUUUCUGCACAGGGCAGACAGUACUAGUAUGUAAUUAGACAGAACAGGUAAAUUGGGGACAAGAUGUGGUAAAAUAGAUUUUGGUGCCAGUGACUUAUUAAACAGAGGUUAAAGGGGGCGUGAUGAAGAGACACAGUGAUUGACUGGCUAGAUAAAAGCUUGGAACAGAUGUAAUAUGUGGCCUGAGAAGUUAAUAAAAAUAGCUUCAUCUUUACAGAUUUUGUUGUGUCAGAAAAUGAUAACUAAGGAAAGGAGAAGAAACAUGUGCCAGGUCCCAGUAAUAAUGAAAAACAAGAAAAAAAUCAGAUAUUGGGUUCUCUCCCAGAUGAACAGCAUUGACCACUGUGAAUUCAGAGAGCUCCCACAAGGUUAAACUUGUGAUUUAUUUUUAUAUUGGGGGUGUCAUUUAGAUAAUAUAUAAGGAAGAAGCGUACCAUAUUGACAAGCUGUGCUGUUGCUUUAAAGCUUAAGGUGUUGCUGAUUUGCAGCUUGCUGGGCAAAGAGAGUCUACGGUUUUGUUCUUCAUUUCAAUCAUGAUUACAGCAAGGCAAUGUGGAAUCCGACAUGCCCACUUGGGACUGCUGACUUGGGAAAAAGAUCCAAAGGUGUUUUGGGCCCAAGCCCUCAGCUGUAGACCAGAGCUGCUCACAGGUGGCACUCAAGUGUGGACCUGCCACAUCGCUCCCCAAACCAGAGUCUCCUCCUUUGGGUUUUGGGGGGCCCCCGCUCCCCAGCCUCGUGGGGGAGCCCCUCCCUGGCAGUGGGGCCUCCCCCCAGGAAACGCCGAUGACCAGCCACCCUCCAGCUCGCCCUCGCCAGCCCUCCUGACCCACCGCUGGCAGGAGGCACCGCCAAUUCCAUUUGUUAAACAGUUUUUUUUUUUUUUAAGUGUAAAUGAUAAUAAUAAAAUUCCACGAGUCUUUCUUUUUUUUUCUCUUUUCUCUCCCCUCAGGAUAAAUUUUAUGCGGCUGGCAGUUAAAAUAAGCGAUUACCCCAUAAAUACCAUCUUAAUAGCCUCGUCAACGCUACGGCCUCCGCUGUCCUGAGAUUUUUAUCUCAGGAAAGGGGGAGGGAGGGAGAGAGAAAACCACAACCCUUUAGAGCGCUGCGGCGGCGGCUGCCGCCGCUCGUUACUCGCUGCGUAGCUGGGGGGGCGGAGGGCUCCCCCCUUCCCCCGGGGGCAGCCGCGGGGCCGCCCCCUCCCCCGGCGUGGCCGUUGGCGUGG
This 1375-nucleotide long non-coding RNA is filed under the name Apteryx owenii (little spotted kiwi). Its description in RNAcentral is "lncRNA (ENSAOWG00000012592.1)". Lineage: Eukaryota; Metazoa; Chordata; Aves; Apterygiformes; Apterygidae. The record is from RNAcentral.